GCAGGAUCAAGGCUGCGAUGCUCGUUCCGCACAGGACUACCAGUCUUCUUUUACGAGCGGGCCAAGGUCUGAGUACUCCAACCCCCUCGAUCUGUCCUAGCAGGACAUGGUUGUAACCAACCAAGCGACUUAUCAGAGAACCACUGCAUUACUUCGAUGUCCCAAAGAUCUCUGCUCGCUGUGGAGGGAGGGUCAAUUUGGUGUAUUUGGAACUUGUCGCGGGGGUCGGGUGAUCUCUCUAGUCCCAAUAGACUUCCACUGGCAUGAGGGCGUGGUCACAGACCGCAACGAUAUGGUGGGGAGUCGUAAACGACAACCCAUUAUUUUGAGCUGUACAAUGAUUAGACUCUGCGUCGUCAAUGUCACAGCUUUCGUUUGCUCAAUCCUUGGCACACCCGCUCAACCCCGGGUCCAUGGAGUCGCGCACAGGGAAGGCCUCUGGUGGCACUUGACGAGGUUACCUUUUAGCUCACUUCGCAGCUCACUACAGUGUUUUUGCUUAUCUGAGCUCAACCACCAGUGGAACUCGAUUCAGACUACUCUAUGUCUGC
Molecule: RNase P RNA, 551 nt
Filed under: Hypsizygus marmoreus
Lineage: Eukaryota; Fungi; Basidiomycota; Agaricomycetes; Agaricales; Lyophyllaceae
Description: Nuclear RNase P
Rfam family: Nuclear RNase P
About the family: Ribonuclease P (RNase P) is a ubiquitous endoribonuclease, found in archaea, bacteria and eukarya as well as chloroplasts and mitochondria. Its best characterised activity is the generation of mature 5'-ends of tRNAs by cleaving the 5'-leader elements of precursor-tRNAs.
Source: Rfam by way of RNAcentral